Molecule: small RNA, 1254 nt
Filed under: Oryza sativa Japonica Group (Japanese rice)
Lineage: Eukaryota; Viridiplantae; Streptophyta; Magnoliopsida; Poales; Poaceae
Description: sRNA Os04g0585150
Source: RNAcentral
AGCACAGAUGAAGAGGCUCUGGCUCUUGCUGCUGCUUUCAUGGCCUCGUUUGAAUCCAGUUUUGCAAGCUUCCAUGCGCUAAUGCGCACGGGACGUUUAGGAUAAUGUUUGGCUCUUUCAGUCGGGUUCAUGCUAUCAGGAUCAACAGUUGAAGGCACUCGUCCAGGUUGCAGUAAUACUGGACAGAAUUCAUACCUGGUCAAUAAAUAUGCGUGGUGGAGUGCACCACGCACCUUUGUAGUGCCGUGCAAAUGAGCUCCCACUGAAAGCAGUCGGUGCAGAACUCAUGGGAGAUGAUGGCAGGCUUUGUUGUUCAUCAUUGACAGAAGGACCAGGAGGUUCACUCUGAGCCCUCAUUGCCACAACAUAUUCAUAAGUUGUGAUGCCCUGCAAAAAACACCAAAUCCACAAGACACAAGUUUCUCAGCAGUUAAAAGAAUAUAAACAUUGAUAGAAAUAUUAAUAUUGUUUUGAUUAUUUUACAUACCCAAGCAAGGCUCACAGCCAUAAGGCACAGAAAUGUGACAUAGUUUUUUCUUCCAACACAAUUGUUCAGCCACUGCAUCAGAAACACCAAAACAACAUCAGAAUAGCCAUGUCAACAAACUAAAGUGAAAGGGCAAAAGGACAAGUGAAGUUUAUGAAACAGAAGCUUUAACAUAAACCUACCCGGCAAUGAUGAUCAAAACCAUCAACACAUUUGUCACAACUCCGACAAUGAUGGGGCUGUGGAUAAGUACCUCUGCAUUGCAAAGGGUGCAAAAGAGUGCCUCUUCAUCAUAAUCUUCUUGUUGGUAAGCUUCGUCAUCUUUGCGACAAUCCUCUUUCACAAAUAUAGCACAACACAAACAACCAGCUCCUAAACAUGAUUUGUGCUUUUGGACAUCCUCAUAGGUUCUCGAUUCUGAUUUGCCCGUUUCGUCUUGUGUGUCUAAUUUUGCUUUUGAGCAAAACAAGAUGAUUUGCUACAUUAGUAUAACAUGUGCCUACUACUACAUGAAUUACAUCAAAGUUCCAAGUAUGAGCAGAUACCUUCUGACUUAUAGGUUAGAGCACCGUUGACAGUAAUCAUGAUUCCAGGGUCAGCAGGAUCAAUAGCAGUACAUCUUACAUAUAGAAUCAGAAGAACAUUACCAGAAAACUAUAAACACCUAUUGCGAUAAAUUGAUACAAGUCCUUCCCAAGAAAUGGUGAAAAGAAAGCAUAGAAUUCUAUACACAACAAGAAGAACACCGUUAUAGCUACCACCUGCAA